Molecule: long non-coding RNA, 924 nt
Organism: Rhineura floridana
Lineage: Eukaryota; Metazoa; Chordata; Lepidosauria; Squamata; Rhineuridae
Exons: 4
Source: RefSeq, a predicted model, not a curated record
GACAGGGGAUUGGCUGCACAGGCUCCUCUCAUAGAAACGGAAAAGGUGGAGGGCGGGGCCAACGCUGCCUUGCAAUGGUGGCGAAGGAAAGGAUCAGAGUCCUGACACGCAUGCGUCCUCCGGCCGUCAGGGUUUAUUUUUAUUUUUUUUCCCCCACAUCCCUUUCACUCGGCGCCAUUUUGUGCGAUCUUCAGUCACGUCUUGGUCCCAUUUCGUUGAGAGGGCUGGAGAAGAAGGGAAGCAGUAGAGCGGCCGUGGCAGAGGCGCUCCCUGGGCCUGAGCUGCAUUUUCAUUCAUAGAAAUUUAAUCCAAUGAGGCUUCAGACUGACACAUUCAGCAUGGCAGUGACAAAUACAGUUGGAGCACCUCGUAAAGUAGCUUGUGGCACCAAAUGGCAUGCAGAGGAGGAGGAUGUUGCAGUUGCAAAGCCUGGCUAUCUAAUUCGAGAGGAAGAGAAUCCACACUGAAGGAAGGAUGAGCAGGACACAGCUGAGUGAGGGCUGCUGUAUUUAAAACAUGUUGACGACUGUCUAUGACAACUGAGAUGGUGCUCUUUACUUAAGCUUGCUUACAGUCCUGUUCUGGAGCGUUUGGAAAUCAGUGCUUUGUUUACUUACCAAGCUAACUGGAAAGAAUUGUGGCUGUGAAUUUAUACAUCUCUGCAGAAAAUCCUUACCAAGGCUUUGGAACAGUGUGUGUGAGCUUGUGUGUAUGACCAGCACAAUGACAAAACAUCAGCCAUAUAUCACUUGUGGGAUUCAGUACAGGUGUGUUGAUUAUCAUAAGUGGCUCUUACUGAGUUGUUUUUGUGAGAUACUUCUUCAGCAGAGAAGAAUCUCCAUUGUAUCCAAGUUCAGAAAAUGUAUCAAGAUCAGCAAGAUUAAUUCUGUAUACACUGGUGCUUUAUGGAAUAAAGUUUGUUCU